This is a non-coding RNA of Paramormyrops kingsleyae, 1228 nucleotides long. Lineage: Eukaryota; Metazoa; Chordata; Actinopteri; Osteoglossiformes; Mormyridae. The record is from RefSeq and is a predicted model, not a curated record.
CAUUGUAAUGUUAUCCCGUGUUUUGCCUGUCCCUUAUGUUGCUUUUCCUAUUAAACCCCGUGUUUGCCCCGCCUUCUUGCCUCCUGCGCUUAUUCAACGCUUCGUGCGCCGCCAAGCGCGACAGACUCAUUCGUUGAAAGGGGCAUGUUCAAAAUAUUAGCAGCGUGGAAUUUAAUUUAAUUAGAGAAUUAAUUCAUUCUGUGAAAAAAGCAGGUGUCAUUAAUUGUCCUUUACUAAGGAAGAUGGGAAAGAAAUGUUUCACACAUCGUUAUAAAACAUAUUUCCUUUUGAAUAGCACAUGGAAAAAAACGAGCAACUACUGUUAAAAUGGAUCGAAGAAUAGUCAGAAUGGCAAAAAGUCAGCCAACCAUCACCCCCAGAAAGAUCAAAGAUGAUCUAAAAUCACCGGCUUUGCUGGGAUGGCUCUUCAGUCUAUUUCGUAAGUCCAUGGUGUUUUGCAGCAAAAAUUUAAGGUAUGAAGCCUUCUUUGACUGACAGCUUUAUCUACAAGCAAAGCUGUGACAGUUUAUAAGCUUUAUAACAGAAAUUCCUCUGCAGUUUGCUUGCUGUGGAUGAUUCACCUCCCCAAGGGAUUCUCUUGAAGUUCCCUUUUUCACCCCCCUUUCUUUAAUAUGUAACUUGCUGUACAUCCCGUAACGAUGUCGUUAACCUGCUCUAGGCCUCAGGCUGAGUCUGACACAAAUACCGCAAUGUGAGGUCUCUCUCGGUGAAGACAACCAGAUGUCCAUCCAUCCAUCCAUCCAUCCAUCAUCUGCAGCUUAUCCGGGGUCAGGUUGAUUAAAAAAAAUGCAAUUGAAUUACAAUUAAAAAUAUUGGCUACAUUACAUUUUAAAGGGGUUAUAUUCAAAUAUAUUACUUUAGGUAAAAAGAUUAUAUAUAGACUAUAAUAUUGAUUUUGUUACUUUCCAUUUUGUCACCAUGCAGAAAUGCCGCCUUUUGGCAUAAUUCCAGACAACGCAGGUCAGCAAAGUCAUUGGGACCUUUCAGCUUUAUUGGCCAGUCGAAAACAUAUGUUAGAAAAGUAAUUAAAAACUAUGAUGGAGUAAUGAAAAUAGUUACUUAUUACAUUUUUAGCUGGGUAACUAGUGUUCUGUAACAUUACUUUUUAAAAGUAACCUUCCCAAAACAAAAAAAAUUUAAAACACGCACACAUGUAUGUGUGUCAGUAUGUAUAUUACCUGUACACACUCGGGAGAAAUGGUCUUAA